This 496-nucleotide ribosomal RNA is filed under the name uncultured bacterium. RNAcentral's name for it is "partial 16S ribosomal RNA". It matches the Rfam family "Bacterial small subunit ribosomal RNA", at positions 29 to 507 of the family's 1533-position model. The record is from RNAcentral.
AUGAACGCUGGCGGCGUGCCUAAUACCUGCAAGUCGCGCGAACGGACGAGAAGCUUGCUUCUCUGAUGUUAGCGGCGGACGGGUGAGUAACACGUGGAUAACCUACCUAUAAGACUGGGAUAACUUCGGGAAACCGUAGCUAAUACCGGAUAAUAUUUUGAACCGCAUGUUUCAAAAGUGAAAGACGGUCUUGCUGUCACUUAUAGAUGGAUCCGCGCUGCAUUAGCUAGUUGGUAAGGUAACGGCUUACCAAGGCAACGAUGCAUAGCCGACCUGAGAGGGUGAUCGGACACACUGGAACUGAGACACGGUCCAGACUCCUACGGGAGGCAGCAGUAGGGAAUCUUCCGCAAAGGGCGAAAGCCUGACGGAGCAACGCCGCGUGAGUGAUGAAGGUCUUCGGAUCGUAAAACUCUGUUAUUAGGGAAGAACAUAUGUGUAAGUAACUGUGCACAUCUUGACGGUACCUAAUCAGAAAGCCACGGCUAACUACGUG